GCCCGGGUGGUGGAAUUGGCAGACACGACGGACUCAAAAUCCGUUGCUUUAACGAGCGUGCGGGUUCAAGUCCCGCCCCGGGCACCA
RNAcentral lists this transfer RNA (87 nucleotides) under Acidimicrobiaceae bacterium. RNAcentral's name for it is "tRNA-Leu". It matches the Rfam family "tRNA". From Rfam's summary of the family: Transfer RNA (tRNA) molecules are approximately 80 nucleotides in length. Their secondary structure includes four short double-helical elements and three loops (D, anti-codon, and T loops). Lineage: Bacteria; Bacillati; Actinomycetota; Acidimicrobiia; Acidimicrobiales; Acidimicrobiaceae. The record is from RNAcentral. RNAcentral also lists the same sequence under 1 other name.